This 8410-nucleotide unclassified non-coding RNA is filed under the name Hevea brasiliensis (rubber tree). Lineage: Eukaryota; Viridiplantae; Streptophyta; Magnoliopsida; Malpighiales; Euphorbiaceae. The record is from RNAcentral.
GAGCCUUCUCUCUUUUUCUCCAUUCUUCCCUCUACUGACUGUUGUGAGACUUUAAAAAAAAUUAAAUUUUUUUGCUUUUUACAUGGACCAAGAAAUUUGGAAGAGAAGAGUUUCUUAGUUCUGCAAUGUUAUUUUUGUUAAUGAAAGAUUGAAUUUUGAUGGGUGAUCAAGGCUCUACGUCAUUUAGAGUAAGCUAGUUGCUUUACAGUUUUCUGCUUUGGAUGUGUAGCAUGUGUCACUACUGUGGUGCCCAACUGCCAAAAUCAGAGGACGAAAAGAGGAAACCAAAUAAUGAGAAUUCUUUAAAAUUAAAUGGUGAAGGGCACAAUUGGUCUUGUAGAUUUUGUCGGGAGAAGCAAGAACAAGGACAUUUAAAGCAGGACGGUUCGAGUCCUACAUCACCAAUGAUCAGUCCAACAACUUCGUUGUCCAGUAGCGAUAGAUCUGUUUCAAGCUGCAGUAAAUUUCUGCCUCUCAUAAUUCAUUUAAUUUUUUUAUUGAUAUAAUUAGAUUAGUGGCUUUAUACUGUGUAGUUAUGCUUUUAUGCUUUGUUUGUUUAUCUCCUCCUUCAGGUGAUCUGUCGGUUGAUAUAAGCUCAUAUGACCGGGCGAGUCAAGAGGAAGGAAGAGUAGACAGAGCUCGGGAGGAUGUCAGUUGUGGGCUUAACGGCCAACCGCAUAAAUCAAGUUUGGAAGCUUCAGUAAAUGGAGUACACAGAUCAUAUGAAGUAACAGAAAACAAUUUGGAGAAAAGCCAUAAUGGCAGUGACAGGGAGAUUGUGAGAGAUAUUGAUAUAAUGGAAACUGCUAAUGGACAAGAAACAAAAGAUAAUUCAUCUCAGAAUCCUGUUGAAUCCUUAAAUGAAGGAAAUGAGGCUUUUUGUUAUGGUGAUGAUGAAAUCAAUGCACAGGUUUGGGACCCUCCUGAAGCAGAGGAUCCGGAAGAUGACCUGGAGGGUAGUGUGGCUUGCAAUGAUGAUGAUGAUGAUGAUGAAUGUGGUGAUGGCACAAAAUGGGGCAAGCCAAGUUCUUUGAGCUGCUGCACGGAUGAAGGGAGUGGGAGCUACAGGUUCAAAGAAGAAAAACAAAAAGCAAUGGAGGAGGUUGCAAAUGGGAAGUUUAAGGCCAUCGUCAGGCAACUUCUUAAAACUGCAAGUGUUGGCACCAUGGUGAAAGAUUUUGAAAGUUGGGUGGAUAUAGUUAGCGUUUUAUCAUGGGAAGCUGCUUCAUUUUUGAAACCUGAUGCAAUUGAUGGGAAAGGAAUGGAUCCAGAUGGCUAUGUGAAAGUGAAAUGCAUUGCAACAGGCUCACGUAAUGAAAGUCAAGUAGUUAAGGGCUUAGUCUUCAAAAAGCGUGCUGCUCACAAGCACAUGCCAACUAAUUACAAGAACCCAAGGUUGUUGCUGAUCCGGGGAGCGCUUGGUCAGUCUUUAAGUGGCUUAUCAUCAUUUAAAUCAAUGGAUCUGGAAAAGGAUAAUCUGAAAUCGCUUAUGGACAUGAUAGAAAUGUGCCAUCCAAAUGUGGUUUUAGUAGAAAAGUCUGUCUCUCGUGAUCUUCAGGAGUCUAUACUUGCUAAAGGAAUCACAUUGGUGUAUGAUAUGAAGUUACAUCGCCUAGAAAGAGUUGCUCGUUGUACUGGUUCACCAAUUUUAUCAUCUGAUACUUUGCUGGGUCAAAAGUUAAAGCAGUGUGACUCCUUUCAUAUUGAAAAGUUUGUGGAGGAACAUGCUGGGUUGGGUGAAGGGGGAAAGAAACCAAGUAAGACGUUGAUGUUCAUUGAGGGCUGUCCUACACGCCUGGGUUGUACUAUUUUGCUAAAAGGAAGUCAUAGUGAUGAAUUGAAGAGGAUCAAAUAUGUGGUGCAGAUUGCAGUCAUCAUGGCAUAUCAUUUGAUUCUUGAGACUUCAUUUCUUGGUGAUUGGAAAACCAUGUUCUCAACUGUAAUGUUACCUGGGGCAAGGGAUCACGACUCAUCUAUUUUAGAAACCAGAGAUUCAAGCAUUCCUUCUGUUGAGGAGUCUAUUGCUGAAACUGGGCCAGCUACAGUUGAUAUUCCCAUUUCUAAUGGAUUCCAUGCAGAAGGUUCCCAUGACAUGGGAUUGGAAGGCCAUUCCAUGUCUUAUGUGCCAUAUAAUCCUGUCAUUUUUUCUGGGUUCUCCUCUCUUUCAGCAUCUCUUAAGAAAGUUAUAGGGGACAGUUUCCCUCUUGCCUCUUCUGUGCCAUAUCAGUCCCUGGCUAAUUACUUUGGUUUGAAUAUAAAAGAAGCUAAUGAUCAAAGCACAGAAGAGGUACCGGUUUUGGAAACUUUGGAAGCUUCUAACCAUUGUGAUAUGGAAUCUAAAGAUGUUUCUGAUGAAGAGAAAUUACUUGAUGGUGGACAGCCUCAGUCUUUCAGUUGCUGUAAACCCGUUGACGGAGAAAAUGAUGUUGACAAUAAAUACCAAGUUCAGAAUAAGGAUGGUGUCAAUUCUGUGUUGGAUUCUCAGAGUAUUUUGGUUUUGAUGUCAAGUCGGAAUGCCUUAAGGGGGACUAUGUGUGAGCAAAGCCAUUUUUCUCAUAUUAUGUUCUACAGGAAUUUUGACUUUCCUCUGGGGAAGUUUCUUUGGGAUAAGUUGCUCAAUCAGAGACGCCAGUGCACCACUUGUGGUGAAUUGCCAGAAGCUCACUUCUACUAUUAUGCACAUCAUAAUAAGCAGCUUACAAUACGAGUUAGACAGCUUCUGAAGCAUUUGCCUGGAGAAGCGGAAGGAAAACUUUGGAUGUGGAGUCGCUGUGGUAAAUGUAAAAAUCGGAAUGGAGUAAGAAAAUGUACAAAAAGAGUCUUGAUUUCCACUGCUGCAAGAUGUCUGUCCUUUGGAAAAUUCUUGGAGCUCAGCUUUUCUCAGCACACUUCAUCUGUUAGAUUGUCUGGCUGUGGCCAUUCUUUGGAGAGAGACUUCCUCUACUUCUUUGGAUCAGGCCCACUGGCAGCAAUGUUCAAAUUCUCUCCAGUUACAACUUACACUGUGUCUCUCCCACCUCAGAAGCUGGAGUUCAGCCAUUCAAUUAGAUAUGAUGGGCUCAGGCGAGAAUUUGGAAAUGUGCAUUUGAAGGGGAGGUUACUUUUUAGCACAAUUGCAGACACUUUGAACAAGUUAAGAUCUCAAUUUGUAGGCUCUAAUCUGAACCUUCGUGGGCCAUUAAAAGAAUUUUCUGAUAUUGAAGACAUGUUGAAGCAGGAAAGUUCUGAGUUCGAGGCUAGCGUUGACAAUGCUGUUUGUAAGAAUGGAAAUACAAACAAGGCUGAUUACAAGCUUCUUAGCAUAAAUCGAUUGUUAUGGGAACUUCUUCUGGAAUCGUGCAUUUGGGAACAGCGGCUGCAUUCACUGCUCUUACCUGAUCGUUCUUUGGUUCACACUGGUGCUAUUGAGAAAGCAGUGGACAACCAAGUGAAGUCAAAGAUGAGUGGCACCAUUGAUGGAAGAAAUGAAGGGACUGAAAUUGUUUUGGAUGACAGAAGUGGUGAGUUGAAAGAUAUGUUGGGUAAUUCUGUUGAAGCAAAUGGAUUUUCAAUAAAGGAAAUUUCAGUGGAUGGUCUUGUUCAAGAGUCUAGAGUACAAGAUCAUCUUGAUAACUCAUCUCCUUUUGCUGAAGAUGUUGAGAGGUUAAAAGUGGAUGGUUUAAGCCAGAACAGAUCAUCCAGCCCUCAGAUAUCUGAGAAACCUAAUGGUUCUCAUUCUGGUGAUAGUAGUUGCCAAGCAGACAAUUUAGCUUUGUCUGGGGAUUUAGAAGUGGAAAAGGCCAUUCCAAUUGCCUCAGAUACUGGAAAUAGUAACUCUGUUAUCGUAUCAGAUGAAUCUAGAAAGGGUACAUCUCUGCAUUCAGUAGCAUCCAGUUUAGAAAACUCUAGUGGAUGGUUCUGGAUGCCAUUUUCUGAGAUCCGUCAGAUUUACAUGGAGGAUCUUGAGAGAGGUUUCAUGCCUAAAUUUCAGUCAAUCGGUAGCUAUAUACAAGAACACAUAUCUGCAGCCUACCAACUAAUCAGCGAGGAAGGACAAAGGUUGCACAUCCCUCUUGGAAUUGAUAAUUAUAUUGUGAGAGACUAUGAUGGGGAACUAUCUAGUAUAAUUGCAUGUGCUUUGGCAGUUCUGAAAGAUGUACCUGUUUCACUGGAGUUUUUUAGUGAUGAUGGUCGGAAAGAGGGUGGCGCGUCUGCUAAAUCAACUGAUAGUUUACAUAUCUCGACUGGAUUUUCCACCAAAGUUUCUUCAUAUUGGUCUUCGAAUAGUUCUUCUGAUUCAGAUUCAUUCCAUUCUACAUCAAGUGUUUCUCCAGGAGAGUCACGCUUCUCUAGCUUUGAUGGGAUCAAUUUGUUGGAGUCUCUGAUUCCUCCUGAGAAUGUUAGCCCUGAAGUCUCUCUCGGGGUUACAAAGUCACUUGGAAAGGGUAAAUAUUCAGUAAUUUGUUUAUAUGCGAAGCAGUUUCGUGAUCUGCGGAGUCGGUGCUGCCCAUCAGAGGUAGAUUAUAUUGCUUCUCUUAGUCGUUGUAGGAGCUGGGAUGCUAAAGGUGGAAAGAGCAAAUCCCUUUUUGCUAAAACACUUGAUGAGAGGUUCAUUAUAAAGGAAAUCAAGAAGACAGAAUUUGAGUCAUUUGUUAAGUUUGCUUCUCAUUAUUUCAAGUACCUGAAUGAGUCAUUUGAGUUGGGGAACCAAACUUGUCUAGCUAAAGUUCUUGGGAUUUAUCAGGUGAUCAUCAGACAGACAAAAAGUGGAAAAGAGAUGAGGCAUGAUCUGAUGGUUAUGGAGAAUCUGUCCUUUGGUCGAAAUAUCACUCGUCAGUAUGAUCUUAAAGGUGCUCUACAUGCUCGAUACAAUUCAGCUGGUGAUGGUGCAGGAGAUGUUCUAUUAGAUCAAAACUUUGUCAAUGAUAUGAAUUCCUCUCCGCUAUAUGUUAGUAGUAAAGCAAAACGUCUCCUGGAACGUGCUGUUUGGAAUGAUACGACAUUCCUUAAUUCAAUCAAUGUAAUGGAUUAUUCUUUACUUGUUGGGGUAGACACUGAGCAAGGAGAACUUGUAUUUGGAAUAAUUGAUUAUCUAAGGCAGUAUACCUGGGACAAGCAACUGGAAACGUGGGUCAAGUCUUCCCUUGUUCCUAAGAAUGUUUUGCCUACCGUCAUUUCCCCAAAAGAGUACAAGAAGAGGUUCAGAAAGUUUAUGUCUACACAUUUCUUGACUGUCCCCGAUAAUUGGUGCUUGAAGAGAUCCUCUGACCCUCGUCAACUUUGUAGCAUCAGAGACGAUGGUUCUCAAUCAAAGUUUGAAAAACAAGGAGGAUUUAAUGGGUUUUCUCACUAGUUAAAUGUUCAUAUUGCUCAUGAUAUUUACUGUAAAUGGACAGAAUUCUGUCACUGUUGUAUAGUCAGCCCCCAUCAUUUAGCGAUUUUUAGCAAAUUUACGGGGGUAGUUUUUUACUUACAGGUCUGCCUUUGAUCAGCCUGAAAUGCUUGUGAAUUUUGUAAAUUACAUUUAGAAAGCAUAGAGAGCCGUGAACUGGCUAUUUCGAAUCAAUGAAAAUAUGCAGCUAUCUAUGGUAGUCUCCUUGUAUUGUUCCUCAUUAUCACCCUCAACUUGUAUUGUAAUGCACGAUAGAAACAUAGCUAUUACAUUUCUACUUUGCUUCAUUUUAGGAAUUUAAUGGCUUGCUUCUCUCCAUCUCAACAAGUUAUCUCCUUGCAUGCCCUUAAAACAUCCUCUUCAACUGCAAAUUGCUUCGGCAACCAGGCUACUCACCUGAGAUGGAAAGUUCAAACAGGCAAGACAUCAUCGAAAGCUGCAGGGAUAAGGGUGAUUAUUACUAUCUCAAAGAUGAUGAUCCUGAUGAAUCUUAUUACCUAUAUCUAGUCAAUGUCAUCCUCAGUGGUACUGCUAGGCUCAAUGUUCUCUUGCCAACUGCUAUAAUCUUCGCCUUCACCAUUUUUGCCCCACUUCUAACCAAGAAUGCCCAAUGCACUUCUUUGAACCGCAGGCUGAUGGGUAUUUUCGGGGCUCUUCUGGCUGCCUCCUGUGUCUUUUUUACGUUCACGGAUAGCUUCCGAACAUCAACUGGUAGGUUGGUGUAUGGGGUGGCAACAUUCAGAGGAAUAUGGACAUUCAGUGGAGGCAGGAGGAAACCGAAUGUGCCUUCAGAUUAUAGGCUGAGAUGGGCUGAUCUCUUUCAUUCUUCACUUUCCUUGAUUGCUUUUCUGGCUUUUGCUGGUUUACAUACAGAUGUUGUGAGAUGCUACUAUCCAGCAAUGCCUAGGAAGGUGAUCAACAUUGUUCCUCUAGUUAUUGGUUUUGUAAUCAGUGCGUUGUUCGUGUUGUUUCCCUCCAAGAGAAAAGGGAUCGGAUACCCUUUCUUGCUGCAGAGGAAUGCUUUGUACUUUAGAUAAGUUCUGUUCUCCUGGCACAAAUCCAAGAAGAUAAUGCAUAUACCCCUUUUUUUCCCUGUAGAAUUUUCAAUGAAACUAAUCGUGCACAUUUUAUAUGAUAGCACAUGAAUACAUAUUUUCUGGUUUGGAAUGUCAAAUCGUGUAUAAAACUAUUGCAAUACAAGGGGAAAAAGAAAUUGAAGAAGCUGUUAUUGAUUCAGGUACAAUGGCAACGUAAGGGAAUUGAUACUCCUGCAGGUUUUCUCUUAUCUCUAACAAUGGUUUCCUUAAUCAUGGGCAAUUUUUGCUGGACCUUCCUCCAUAUGUGAUUCACUGCACCAUCUGGAGGAACCGGUCCAAUACCGCCAGGAUGGCCAUUAUCAUACUCUAACAUUGGCUGAACCUUGGCCAUUUUUUGGCGAAAUUCAUUUCUCCGCUUUUCAGAAAUUCUUUUAAGAUAAUCCACAAGCCAUCUUGGUUUUAAGGCAUCAUUAACUGCCACAAAAACUGAGAAUUCUGAGUAAUCCACCAUCCCCUCAAAUGGGAGUUCAAUAUUGUCACUGACAAUAACAGGUAUACAGAGACUUUGGAUGGCAUCAAAAAGUCGACAAGAAGUGGGGGUAUCCCCGGCUGGGUGCAAGCAGAACUCUGAUGUUCUCAUCCCUCUAAUUGAUUGCUCUCUCCCAGUGGCAUUGGGGAAGCCUUCUUCCAUAAUAAUCCCAGGUUCAUUAACCAACAAGUCCCACAACUUUUCUCGAACUACACCUCCCCGGUGCCUGUGUUUGGCUCCUUUAAAAUAAAGUAGCGUGUGACGCUUCUUGUUCUUUGAUAAGUGCAAUCUAGGAAGCAAAUGUGUGUAUGGAACAAUUAUAUCUUUAACCAAUGAAACUUGAGUGUGUUGUAUCAUAUCUGAGGAACUACCAUUGAAUGAUUUUGAGUCAAGCCUAUACCAUCCACCGAAAUCCACCACUAGAAGAAUCGCGGGCGCUAUCUCGGCUCUCACAUGCCACAUUGCAACAGGGUCUGUGAGAACAAAAACAUGAUCUCUACCACCAGACCGCUUCCAGGCAUUGGAAUUCUUCACAAACUCAAUCACCUCCUUCUGCCUUUUGUAAUCCUCAUUGCCUUCCUUCUUCCGAAACGUACCCUUCCCUUUCCCAAGCUCAAUCUCCGCACUCAAUGUAGCGAAAAACGGUACAAAAACGACAUCGGCCUGAUUAACAUCAACUACCCUUUUCGCAAAUGAUUGAGUCCUCAAAUUCUCCGGGGUCAUCAGGUCCCCCGUGAUCCAGUACUCCGCACUGUACUGCUUGAUCAAUGGAUUCUCAGGAUAUGGAGGGAAUUUGGAGUUUUUGUGCUUAUGAAUCUGGGGGUGAUCCAGGUCAGAGCUAAUGCGGGAGUCCGGUACAGAGGAGGACCAAUACUGGUCUAGGAGGCCGUAGUUGAGGGAUCUAGGAAGGUCCGCUAAGUAGACUUUGAGGGGAUCUUGGGAGGCUUGAAGAGUGUUUUCAGGAUUUGAAAAAGAUGGACUUGGGUUGGAGAAUAGCAAGAAAAGGGAAAGGGUGAUCAGGGAAACGAGAAUAAAAGUGAGAAACAGAGAAGCGAUUGAGCAUGGGAGAGUGGUUAUUUUAGUGGCGGUGGAGGUGGCGGCAACUGUGCUCUUUGGAGGCAUUUCCGGCCUUGCUGGGCUUAUGCUUCUGAUUUGCUCAACUGGUUUUGAAGCUACUUAUUCAAUUAUGUCUUAAGAGGAUCCUACGUCGUUUAGGAGUUGCAAGAUGAUACGGUGACGUAUCAUCAUUUUUUUAAUUAUAAUAUUAAUUUUAUAAAUAAUUAAAAAAUAGAAUUUCGUUUUUAUAUGUAUGUUUUUUUAAAUAAAAAAUUAAUUUUUAAUUUUUAAAAUUAAAUUUUCAACAUUUAUUAGGUUAUUUCAUAAGUAAAUUAUUAAAUAAUACUAGAAAAUUUGAAUAAAAUAUUUUUAUUUUCAUAAAUUAUUUAAACAUUUUUUUAAGAUUUUAAAAUUUAA